This is a long non-coding RNA of Oncorhynchus tshawytscha (Chinook salmon), 314 nucleotides long. NCBI's taxonomy places the organism in Eukaryota, Metazoa, Chordata, Actinopteri, Salmoniformes, Salmonidae. The record is from Ensembl.
GGGAGACUGGAGUGAUGGAGGUAGAUAUGUAUAGGAGACAGGGAUACUGGAGUGAUGGAGGUAGAUAUGUAUAGGGGGAAGGAGACUAGGAAUCACGAUCAAAGAUAAACAGAGUAGCAGUGUGUGUGUGUAUAGAGUGUCAGUAUAAAUGUUUGUGCUUAUUAUUUGUGAGUGACAAAAUGGAGUGUGUGUGUGUUGCAGUCUGUGUUUUGUAGUGUGUGUGCGUCUGUGUGUUGUAGUGUGUGUGUGUGUGUGUGUGUGUGUAGUGUGUUUUGUAGUGUGUGUGUGUGUGUGUUGUAGUGUGUGUUGUAGUG